This 472-nucleotide long non-coding RNA is filed under the name Helianthus annuus (common sunflower). The record is from RNAcentral. Lineage: Eukaryota; Viridiplantae; Streptophyta; Magnoliopsida; Asterales; Asteraceae.
CAAGUGGUAUCAGAGCCAUUGAAGUCUUUCAAAGGCUCGGUUUUGAUAUCACUCGAAGAACAAGAAGAAGCUUUGCACAGUGUCGGGGGAUGAAUGCUCGUCAAAGAUGUUUCGGCCACCAAACGGAAAAAGGAUGGAGGUGGUCGGAGGUGGUGUAGAAGAUGACGGUGGUGAAGAAGGUGGCUGGAGGAUGAUUAAUGGAACGAAGAUGGUGGUUGUAAGAUGGUUGUAGGAUGAGGUGCUAUGAUGUUUAACGAUGGCAAAAGAAGUUGAGAGGAGGUGUACGGUGGUCGGAAGCGGAUAAACAACGGAGACGCUAAGUGACGGAGAGGCAGUGAGGUGCUCGUCGGUGGUGCGAUGCUGAUGGAUAACGAUGGGUUUGAAGUGACUCGCAGCUGAGAUGAAUGGCAACAGUAGCGGCGUGGUUUUGAGGGUUUCCACGAACUCCGGCAACCUGUGAUAACACAAGCUC